CCUACGGGCGCCAGCAGUGGGGAAUAUUGGACAAUGGGCGAAAGCCUGAUCCAGCCAUGCCGCGUGUGUGAAGAAGGCCUUCGGGUUGUAAAGCACUUUCAGUGGGGAAGAAAGCCUUGGGGCUAAUACCCUCGAGGAAGGACAUCACCCACAGAAGAAGCACCGGCUAACUCCGUGCCAGCAGCCGCGGUAAUACGGAGGGGUGCGAGCGUUAAUCGGAAUUACUGGGCGUAAAGCGCGCGUAGGCGGUCUGAUAAGCCGGUUGUGAAAGCCCCGGGCUCAACCUGGGAACGGCAUCCGGAACUGUCAGGCUAGAGUGCAGGAGAGGAAGGUAGAAUUCCCGGUGUAGCGGUGAAAUGCGUAGAGAUCGGGAGGAAUACCAGUGGCGAAGGCGGCCUUCUGGACUGACACUGACGCUGAGGUGCGAAAGCGUGGGUAGCAAACAGGAUUAGAUACCCUAGUAGUC
This 466-nucleotide ribosomal RNA is filed under the name Vreelandella stevensii. RNAcentral's name for it is "partial 16S ribosomal RNA". It matches the Rfam family "Bacterial small subunit ribosomal RNA", at positions 338 to 795 of the family's 1533-position model. The record is from RNAcentral. Lineage: Bacteria; Pseudomonadati; Pseudomonadota; Gammaproteobacteria; Oceanospirillales; Halomonadaceae.